GGGCUUAUAGCUCAGUCGGUUAGAGCGCACGCCUGAUAAGCGUGAGGUCGGUGGUUCGAGUCCACCUAAGCCCA
This 74-nucleotide transfer RNA is filed under the name Caldisalinibacter kiritimatiensis. It matches the Rfam family "tRNA". From Rfam's summary of the family: Transfer RNA (tRNA) molecules are approximately 80 nucleotides in length. Their secondary structure includes four short double-helical elements and three loops (D, anti-codon, and T loops). Lineage: Bacteria; Bacillati; Bacillota; Tissierellia; Tissierellales; Thermohalobacteraceae. The record is from Rfam by way of RNAcentral.